ACGUAGGGGACAAGCGUUAUCCGGAUUUACUGGGCGUAAAGAGCCCGUAGGCGGUCGGCUAAGUUGGACGUGAAAUCUCCCGGCUCAACCGGGAGGGUGCCUCGAAAACUGGCAGGCUUGAGGCAGGGAGAGGGAUGUGGAAUUCCCGGUGUAGUGGUGAAAUGCGUAGAUAUCGGGAGGAACACCAGUGGCGAAGGCGGCAUCCUGGCCCUGUCCUGACGCUCAGGGGCGAAAGCGUGGGGAGCAAACCG
This 251-nucleotide ribosomal RNA is filed under the name uncultured prokaryote. RNAcentral describes it as "partial 16S ribosomal RNA". It matches the Rfam family "Bacterial small subunit ribosomal RNA", at positions 525 to 775 of the family's 1533-position model. The record is from RNAcentral.